Molecule: non-coding RNA, 85 nt
Organism: Hirsutella rhossiliensis
Lineage: Eukaryota; Fungi; Ascomycota; Sordariomycetes; Hypocreales; Ophiocordycipitaceae
Source: the annotation of a RefSeq genome assembly
GCCCUUGUAGCUUAGGGGUAGAGCGUUGCACUUGUACGUCCUCGCCGAAAUGCAAAGGUCGGCGGUUCAAUUCCGCCCGGGGGCA